GACGAACGCUGGCGGCGUGCCUAAUACAUGCAAGUAGAACGCUGAAGGAGGAGCUUGCUUCUCUGGAUGAGUUGCGAACGGGUGAGUAACGCGUAGGUAACCUGCCUGGUAGCGGGGGAUAACUAUUGGAAACGAUAGCUAAUACCGCAUAAUAGCAGUUAUUGCAUGAUAACUGUUUGAAAGGUGCAAUUGCACCACUACCAGAUGGACCUGCGUUGUAUUAGCUAGUUGGUGGGGUAACGGCUCACCAAGGCGACGAUACAUAGCCGACCUGAGAGGGUGAUCGGCCACACUGGGACUGAGACACGGCCCAGACUCCUACGGGAGGCAGCAGUAGGGAAUCUUCGGCAAUAGACGGAAGUCUGACCGAGCAACGCCGCGUGAGUGAAGAAGGUUUUCGGAUCGUAAAGCUCUGUUGCAAGAGAAGAACGAGUGUGAGAGUGGAAAGUUCACACUGUGACGGUAUCUUACCAGAAAGGGACGGCUAACUACGUG
RNAcentral lists this ribosomal RNA (495 nucleotides) under uncultured bacterium. Its description in RNAcentral is "partial 16S ribosomal RNA". It matches the Rfam family "Bacterial small subunit ribosomal RNA", at positions 28 to 507 of the family's 1533-position model. The record is from RNAcentral.